Molecule: transfer RNA, 67 nt
Filed under: Cantao ocellatus
Lineage: Eukaryota; Metazoa; Arthropoda; Insecta; Hemiptera; Scutelleridae
Description: tRNA-Glu
Source: RNAcentral
ACUUAUAUAGUUUAAACAAAAACAUUUCAUUUUCAAUGAUAAAAUAAAUAUUUAUAUUUUAUAAGUA